Molecule: non-coding RNA, 918 nt
Organism: Taeniopygia guttata (zebra finch)
Lineage: Eukaryota; Metazoa; Chordata; Aves; Passeriformes; Estrildidae
Source: RefSeq, a predicted model, not a curated record
UAAGGGCAUAUAUUACAAAUUCUUAAUUUUCCUAUACUUGAAUUAAGGUAAAACCUAAAAAUAAAUUAUUGUUGACACAGCUAUUCUCUCUCUCUUCGUUCAUGACCUAAGUAAAGUCUUCAUGUCCCUUUCUUUUUUUUUUUUUAUUGAAAUGCAGUUUGCUUUGAAGAUAUUUUUUCUUUGCCAUUUAGAACUGAUGGCCAGCCAACUAAAACUCCUCUAGCUAAUCCCAGUUUUUUGUCCAAAGCACAAAUAGGUUGCACUCAAUAGAAUCAGGAAAAAGAAGCGAAGCUAUGAAGAAAAGCAAAUGCUCUGCUCAGACUCCACUCAAACUCAAGUUUCAGAAGGAUGUGCUGCCAUUUCUGCUGUCAUAUGCAGGGUUGCUGCAGAUCCAUUCUGCAAACACAUCUCCUGAAAAGCAGCAUGGUUCACUGCUGGUUGCUGUAGUAAGAGUCUGACAAGCUGGCAUGUUUUUAAGUUGGAAGCCCUUGUCCUGUCACUGCAGUUUCUGAUGAAGAGCCCCUCUGUGGCCUCCUGGCUGGCCCCCUUCAGAGCCCUCUCCUUAUUGUGCUGCUGCAGUGAUGGGUGAGAGAGCAUGGGCACACAACCGGGCUUGUCUGCUGCAGGUUUUCUUCAGCUAAUUCAGGUUUUGUAAGUCUUGAUGUUCAACAGGCUGGAAGGCAGCAGAAGCACCGUUUCUAAAAAUACAACUGACAGAUAACUGUGGUCUCCACAGGCUGCCUGUUGGGCCUUCUCUGAUGUAGCAAUGAACAGAAUGGUGUUGUAAAAGCCUUGCUAUUGGACAGCAUUCUCCUGGAUAAGCUUCUUCUGAAUAAAGAAAACUGCAUAUACCUGGUCAUGUUACAGUGAGGAUAAAGCACAAACUGAGCAAUAAAAGAGGUUCAUAUGUUUAAUGCU